This 21-nucleotide ribosomal RNA is filed under the name Sabal mexicana. RNAcentral's name for it is "partial 18S ribosomal RNA gene". The record is from RNAcentral. Lineage: Eukaryota; Viridiplantae; Streptophyta; Magnoliopsida; Arecales; Arecaceae.
GAACCUGUGAAAGGAUCAUUG